AUUGAACGCUGGCGGAAUGCUUUACACAUGCAAGUCGAACGGCAGCACGGGGGCAGCCCUGGUGGCGAGUGGCGAACGGGUGAGUAAUACAUCGGAACGUGCCCGGUCGUGGGGGAUAACGUAGCGAAAGGUACGCUAAUACCGCAUACGAUCUGAGGAUGAAAGCGGGGGACCUUCGGGCCUCGCGCGAUCGGAGCGGCCGAUGUCAGAUUAGGUAGUUGGUGGGGUAAAGGCCUACCAAGCCGACGAUCUGUAGCUGGUCUGAGAGGACGACCAGCCACACUGGGACUGAGACACGGCCCAGACUCCUACGGGAGGCAGCAGUGGGGAAUUUUGGACAAAGGGCGCAAGCCUGAUCCAGCCAUUCCGCGUGCAGGACGAAGGCCUUCGGGUUGUAAACUGCUUUUGUACGGAACGAAAAGGCUCUGGCUAAUACCUGGGGCUCAUGACGGUACCGUAAGAAUAAGCACCGGCUAACUACGUG
RNAcentral lists this ribosomal RNA (484 nucleotides) under uncultured bacterium. RNAcentral describes it as "partial 16S ribosomal RNA". It matches the Rfam family "Bacterial small subunit ribosomal RNA", at positions 29 to 507 of the family's 1533-position model. The record is from RNAcentral.